This 190-nucleotide ribosomal RNA is filed under the name uncultured bacterium. RNAcentral describes it as "partial 16S ribosomal RNA". It matches the Rfam family "Bacterial small subunit ribosomal RNA", at positions 1310 to 1500 of the family's 1533-position model. The record is from RNAcentral.
UUACGCCUUCAUGAAGCUGGAAUUGCUGUAAUGGCAGGUCAGCAUACUGCCGUGAAUACGUUCCCGGGCCCUUGUACACACCGCCCGUCACACCAUGAGAGUUGGGAAUACCCGAAGCCUGUGAGCUAACUUAUAGAGGCAGCAGUCGAAGGUAGAAUCAAUGAUUGGGGUGAAGUCGUAACAAGGUAAC